ACAACUUAAUAAGUUUCAGGUGCCCGUUAAGGGUGAAUAGGGAAACCGGUGUAAAUCCGGUGCGAUCCCGUCACUGUAAGCAGGAGCCGACCUCAAUAGUCCACUGGUGGAAACCGGGAAGGAGAGGAAGGCGAUGAUUGCAAGCCAGGAGACCUGCCUGAAAUUUUAGAUUAUA
Molecule: non-coding RNA, 175 nt
Filed under: Bacillota bacterium
Lineage: Bacteria; Bacillati; Bacillota
Source: RNAcentral